This 337-nucleotide unclassified non-coding RNA is filed under the name soil metagenome. RNAcentral's name for it is "partial contains 5.8S ribosomal RNA, internal transcribed spacer 2, and large subunit ribosomal RNA". The stretch from base 1 to 120 matches the Rfam family "5.8S ribosomal RNA", at positions 35 to 154 of the family's 154-position model. The record is from RNAcentral.
GAUGAAGAACGUAGCGAAAUGCGAUACGUAGUGUGAAUUGCAGAAUUCAGUGAAUCAUCGAAUCUUUGAACGCACAUUGCGCCCCUUGGUAUUCCAUGGGGCAUGCCUGUUCGAGCGUCAUUUGUACCUUCAAGCUCUGCUUGGUGUUGGGUGUUUGUCUCGCCUCUGCGUGUAGACUCGCCUUAAAACAAUUGGCAGCCGGCGUAUUGAUUUCGGAGCGCAGUACAUCUCGCGCUUUGCACUCAUAACGACGACGUCCAAAAGUACAUUUUUACACUCUUGACCUCGGAUCAGGUAGGGAUACCCGCUGAACUUAAGCAUAUCAAUAAGCGGAGGA